GUCAACAUGGCCGAGUGGUUAAGGCGACAGACUUGAAUAAUCCUCACUAUUCUUGCCUAUCUGUUGGGUUCGCCCGCGUAGGUUCGAACCCUACUGUUGACG
Molecule: transfer RNA, 102 nt
Organism: Neurospora crassa OR74A
Lineage: Eukaryota; Fungi; Ascomycota; Sordariomycetes; Sordariales; Sordariaceae
Rfam family: tRNA
About the family: Transfer RNA (tRNA) molecules are approximately 80 nucleotides in length. Their secondary structure includes four short double-helical elements and three loops (D, anti-codon, and T loops).
Source: Rfam